Molecule: ribosomal RNA, 437 nt
Filed under: uncultured bacterium
Lineage: Bacteria
Description: bacterial SSU rRNA
Rfam family: Bacterial small subunit ribosomal RNA
Source: RNAcentral
GAUUAGAGUUUGAUCCUGGCUCAGAACGAACGCUGGCGGCAGGCCUAACACAUGCAAGUCGAGCGCACCCUUCGGGGUGAGCGGCGGACGGGUGAGUAACGCGUGGGAAUAUGCCCUUUGGUACGGAAUAGUCCUGGGAAACUGGGGGUAAUACCGUAUGCGCCCUUCGGGGGAAAGAUUUAUCGCCAAAGGAUUAGCCCGCGUUGGAUUAGGUAGUUGGUGGGGUAAUGGCCUACCAAGCCGACGAUCCAUAGCUGGUUUGAGAGGAUGAUCAGCCACACUGGGACUGAGACACGGCCCAGACUCCUACGGGAGGCAGCAGUGGGGAAUCUUAGACAAUGGGGGCAACCCUGAUCUAGCCAUGCCGCGUGAGUGAUGAAGGCCCUAGGGUUGUAAAGCUCUUUCAGCUGGGAAGAUAAUGACGGUACCAGCCGCAG